This 667-nucleotide long non-coding RNA is filed under the name Homo sapiens (human). RNAcentral's name for it is "novel transcript". The record is from RNAcentral. Lineage: Eukaryota; Metazoa; Chordata; Mammalia; Primates; Hominidae.
GGAGAGAGCCUCUGCUUCAGGACUUGAGCUGUCUCUGCUGCCUCUCCAGGGGCCACCUGGCCUCAGGACCCCAGGCAAGCACCGUGGGUUGGGAACCAACCUGGUGGAAAACUAAAAUCAGCCCAUCUUCAGGUCUACCGCGGCGGAUGAAGCCUCACGCAGAACAGAUACAGUUGCUUGGCAAGCAGGGGGCUGCAGUUCUGCUCCACCUCUGGACUCCUGCCCCACAGGGGAGAAACCCUUUUUGAAAGCACCUGUGACAUAGUUCAAGAUCACCAAUGUCGGGCGAGGGUAGGACAUGCACCCUGGAGUCCAGCCAUACCUCAGCACAGCCCUCCUGCCCACAUCGCCAAGGCCCUGUCAGAGGCAUGACAAACAGCUUGGCUGAUGGCUUAUAAUGUCAAAGAUGAUGGAAACAGGGAGGCGACGGCUGAAAGAAUGGGUUGGGGACGCUUGUCAUAACUUUAUUUGUGGGAGAGGAGGAAACCGAAGCUUGAAGAGGAGAAAUGACAUAUCCAAGUGCCCCAUGAAGGAGGACAAAAGCCCAGGAGGCAGCUGUCGCAUCAUCCUCUUCCUUUCCCUGCACAUCCGCUACAUCCCUUGGUCCUACUGAUUUCACCUGCCGUUUCCUCUAUGUCCAACGUUACUCAGUCCAAGUCCCCAAGCA